GAUGAACGCUAGCGGCAGGCUUAAUACAUGCAAGUUGAGGGGCAGCAUGAUAUACGCGAGUAUAUUGAUGGCGACCGGCGGACGGGUGAGUAAUAGGUAGGAGACCUACCUCAUACAGGGGGAUAGCAUAGAGAAAUCUGUGGUAAUACCCCAUGAGGUUAUAUGAAUAGAGGCAUAUAAUCAAAGCAUAAGCGAUUAUGCGGUAUGAGAGGGGCCUACUGACCAUUAGCUAGUUGGUGAGGUAAGGGCUCACCAAGGCGAAGAUGGUUAGGGGUUUUGAGAGAGAGACCCCCCACAUUGGAACUGAGAGACGGUCCAGACUCCUACGGGAGGCAGCAGUAGGGAAUAUUGGGCAAUGGGCGAAAGCCUGACCCAGCCAUGCCGCGUGAAGGAAGACGGCCUUAUGGGUUGUAAACUUCUUUACUACGCGAAUAGAGGUUAGUACGAGAUACUAAUAGGAAGGUAGUGUAGUAAAAGCACCAGCUAACU
This 489-nucleotide ribosomal RNA is filed under the name uncultured bacterium. RNAcentral's name for it is "bacterial SSU rRNA". It matches the Rfam family "Bacterial small subunit ribosomal RNA", at positions 28 to 502 of the family's 1533-position model. The record is from RNAcentral.